Molecule: ribosomal RNA, 548 nt
Filed under: uncultured bacterium
Lineage: Bacteria
Description: partial 16S ribosomal RNA
Rfam family: Bacterial small subunit ribosomal RNA
Source: RNAcentral
UGGGGAAUUUUGGACAAUGGGCGAAAGCCUGAUCCAGCAAUGCCGCGUGUGUGAAUAAGGCCUUCGGGUUGUAAAGCACUUUUGUCCGGAAAGAAAUCCUUGGCUCUAAUACAGUCGGGGGAUGACGGUACCGGAAGAAUAAGCACCGGCUAACUACGUGCCAGCAGCCGCGGUAAUACGUAGGGUGCAAGCGUUAAUCGGAAUUACUGGGCGUAAAGCGUGCGCAGGCGGUUUGCUAAGACCGAUGUGAAAUCCCCGGGCUCAACCUGGGAACUGCAUUGGUGACUGGCAGGCUAGAGUAUGGCAGAGGGGGGUAGAAUUCCACGUGUAGCAGUGAAAUGCGUAGAGAUGUGGAGGAAUACCGAUGGCGAAGGCAGCCCCCUGGGCCAAUACUGACGCUCAUGCACGAAAGCGUGGGGAGCAAACAGGAUUAGAUACCCUGGUAGUCCACGCCCUAAAACGAUGUCAACUAGUUGUUGGGGAUUCAUUUCCUUAGUAACGUAGCUAACGCGUGAAGUUGACCGCCUGGGGAGUACGGUCGCAAGAUU